This 774-nucleotide ribosomal RNA is filed under the name uncultured Neocallimastigales. RNAcentral describes it as "partial large subunit ribosomal RNA". It matches the Rfam family "Eukaryotic large subunit ribosomal RNA", at positions 24 to 641 of the family's 3401-position model. Lineage: Eukaryota; Fungi; Neocallimastigomycota; Neocallimastigomycetes; Neocallimastigales. The record is from RNAcentral.
UAUGUGAUCGUCUCUCGCAUAUCAAUAAGCGGAGGAAAAGAAACUAACAAGGAUUCCCCUAGUAACGGCGAGUGAAGCGGGAAGAGCUCAAAUUUGAAAUCUUAAAGGGUUUCCCUUUACGAAUUGUAGUUUAAAGAAGUGUUUUCUGUUGAGGUUUUGGUAAAAGUUCUUUGGAAUAGGACAUCAUAGAGGGUGAGAAUCCCGUAUUUGACCUUUACUUUCAACUUUGUGAUACACUUUCAAAGAGUCGGAUUGUUUGGGAAUGCAGUCCAAAAUGGGUGGUAAAUUUCAUCUAAAGCUAAAUAUUGGCGAGAGACCGAUAGCGAACAAGUACCGUGAGGGAAAGAUGAAAGGAACUUUGAAAAGAGAGUUAAACAGUACGUGAAAUUGUCAAAAGGGAAGCGUUUGACACCAGUGUUGUUUUUCUGAAAAUCAAUUAAAGAACUGUUUAUGCUAAGUUGUUCAGACUUUAUCAGCUAACUGUUUAGUUUUGAGCUUUUCUUUAAUGCACUUUUCAGUUAACAAGUCAACAUCAAUUUCUUUUGCUGUAAAAAAGCUUGAGGAAGGUGGCUUGAGAUUCGUCUUAAGUGUUUAUAGCCUCUUGCCUAUGCAGUCGGAGAGAUUGAGGUCUGCAGCGUAGAUCCUUCGGGGCUAAAUGCAUUUGUGCUAAGUUAUAGCAUUUUAUAGACAACUUGUUGACUAUGAUUUGUCUUGUAGCUUACUCGCUUAUGUUAUUUUACCUACGCUUAGGAUGUUGAACGCGCACAGAGUCUC